AACCUUUGCUGUCUUGGAACAGAUCACCACUGCAAGAGGGGAAGUUGCUACUGUGAUGAAUUCUGCCAUGUGGUACCAGACUGCUACCCAGACCACAGUGUCCUCUGCAACCCUCGUAACUCACAUACAGGCCUGAUUCCACCUACAGCAAAGCUGGAUGCUAUGGUUGGCAGAGGCAAACCCUUUGCCUGCACUUCAGGCCAAAGCCGGGAUGUGGCCUAGAUGGUUCCUAAGCUUCUCAGAUGACCAAGAUGGUGCUGCAGAUGGUGCUGAGGAUGGAGAACCCACCAAGCCCCGCUAGGAGCCACCUAGACUGGAUGUAGAGCAUGGCUAAAACCUUUGAAGAGGAAUUUAUUAUAUCCUACAAACCUGGGAGGCAGAGGUUGCAGUGAGCCAAGAUUGGGCCAUCGCACUCCAGCCUGGGCAAUAAGAAUGAAACUCUGUCUCAAAAAAACAAAAGUUGGCUAGGGCUGGGCGUGGUGGCUCACACCUGUAAUCCCAGCACUUUGGGAGGCUAAAGCAGGUGGAUCACCUGAGGUCAGAAGUACGAGACCAUCCUGGCUAAUAUGGUGAAACCCCAUCUCUACUAAAAAUAUGAAAAAAGAAAAAAAAA
This 613-nucleotide long non-coding RNA is filed under the name Pan troglodytes (chimpanzee). Its description in RNAcentral is "lincRNA". The record is from RNAcentral. Lineage: Eukaryota; Metazoa; Chordata; Mammalia; Primates; Hominidae.